This 350-nucleotide ribosomal RNA is filed under the name uncultured bacterium. RNAcentral describes it as "bacterial SSU rRNA". It matches the Rfam family "Bacterial small subunit ribosomal RNA", at positions 8 to 350 of the family's 1533-position model. The record is from RNAcentral.
AGAGUUUGAUCCUGGCUCAGGAUGAACGCUAGCUACAGGCUUAACACAUGCAAGUCGAGGGGAAACGACAUCGAAAGCUUGCUUUUGAUGGGCGUCGACCGGCGCACGGGUGGGUAACGCGUAUCCAACCUGCCCACCACUUGGGGAUAACCUUGCGAAAGUAAGACUAAUACCCAAUGACGUCUCUAGAAGACAUCUGAAAGGGAUUAAAGAUUUAUCGGUGAUGGAUGGGGAUGCGUCUGAUUAGCUUGUUGGCGGGGUAACGGCCACCAAGGCUACGAUCAGUAGGGGUUCUGAGAGGAAGGUCCCCCANAUUGGAACUGAGACACGGUCAAACUCCUACGGAGGCA